RNAcentral lists this ribosomal RNA (447 nucleotides) under uncultured bacterium. RNAcentral describes it as "bacterial SSU rRNA". It matches the Rfam family "Bacterial small subunit ribosomal RNA", at positions 355 to 825 of the family's 1533-position model. The record is from RNAcentral.
UCGGGAAUUUUGGGCAAUGGGCGAAAGCCUGACCCAGCAACGCCGCGUGAAGGAUGAAGUAUUUCGGUAUGUAAACUUCGAAAGAAUGGGAAGAAUAAAUGACGGUACCAUUUAUAAGCUCCGGCUAACUACGUGCCAGCAGCCGCGGUAAUACGUAGGGAGCAAGCGUUGUUCGGAUUUACUGGGCGUAAAGGGCGCGUAGGCGGCGCGGUAAGUCACUUGUGAAAUCUCUGAGCUUAACUCAGAACGGCCAAGUGAUACUGCAGUGCUAGAGUGCAGAAGGGGCAAUCGGAAUUCUUGGUGUAGCGGUGAAAUGCGUAGAUAUCAAGAGGAACACCUGAGGUGAAGACGGGUUGCUGGGCUGACACUGACGCUGAGGCGCGAAAGCCAGGGGAGCAAACGGGAUUAGAUACCCGCGUAGUCCCUGAGCGGGCUGGCAAGGCGCAU